UGACAGACAAGAAAAAGGAGGAGGCAGUGUAGCCAUCUGUAUACGGAAAUAUACUAAGUACUUUGUUCCACCGGGGUUGAAAACAAAAAUUAUUGAAACGAUUACCUUGAAGAUAGAAGAAGCAGAAAUAUUUAUUACAGCUGCGUAUUUUCUUGGCACGAGAAUGAACUCCUAUAAGUAUGGGCUCUUUGAGGACGAUUUGAAGUUUAUUUUUAGCGGAAUAAAUCUCUUAUAUGCGGGGACUUCAACUCAAAACACCGUCAGUGGAGUUGUUACCGCGCAAAUAAGGCAGACAAACCUACCUACUCCCCGUCUAGGGGCUUCGAUUCUACUUUUGAUUUAAUUAUCAACAAAGGAAUCCACAACUGGAAAUUUUAUCCAAAACGCGUAAGUUCAACUUCAACGGAACGAAUUAGUUAAGUUUCAGUCUUCAGACCUUCGAUCAGUUAAUCUCAAUGAUAUUACAUAUUCCAGACAAAUUGCUGACAUGGUAGACAAAUUUUAAUCAAAACUCGGAUGGGCUAUCAACCGCUCUACAACGAAAGUUGUUAUAGAGUCUCAUAAGUCAGAUGACAUUGACAAUCAUAUUAAAUUUCUUAUUUGAAUAAGUAGUAAAUAUAAACAGAUAUGGUAAAGAAACAGGAUACCCAAAGCGAAAUAUAUAGCUAGCUAUAUAGUAGCUUGUCCAGAGUAA
Molecule: long non-coding RNA, 694 nt
Organism: Hermetia illucens (black soldier fly)
Lineage: Eukaryota; Metazoa; Arthropoda; Insecta; Diptera; Stratiomyidae
Exons: 3
Source: RefSeq, a predicted model, not a curated record